UUUGGUGAUGAUGGCGAAGGGGAACCACGCGUUCCCAUCUCGAACACGACCGUUAAGCCCUUCAGCGCCAAUGGUACUUGAACCGCAGGGUUCUGGGAGAGUAGGACGUCGCCAAGC
Molecule: ribosomal RNA, 117 nt
Filed under: Paenibacillus sp. 1_12
Lineage: Bacteria; Bacillati; Bacillota; Bacilli; Caryophanales; Paenibacillaceae
Source: RNAcentral